GAUUUGGGAAAUGCCAUUUAUAAGGAUAAGAACAUCUGAAAAAUAUCCACGAGCAGCGUACUUGCUUCCCCCUCCCCCAUAAAAGAAACAAUAAUAAGAAUUUCUCAUUCUGCACUUUUCUUUGUUUUCUUUCCAAUUUCAUAUUAUGUACUUUAAACUGGUACUAAAUUUCACAUCCAGACUAGCACAUAUUGAGAAUAUUUGAACGACAGUUGAGGGUUCCAGG
RNAcentral lists this long non-coding RNA (226 nucleotides) under Olea europaea (common olive). RNAcentral's name for it is "long non-coding RNA (OEUR_LNC008657)". The record is from RNAcentral. Lineage: Eukaryota; Viridiplantae; Streptophyta; Magnoliopsida; Lamiales; Oleaceae.